UUACCUCAGGUCAGAGAAGACUACCCGCUGGACUUAAGCAUAUCACUAAGCGGAGGAAAAGAAACUAACUAGGAUUCCCCCAGUAACUGCGAGUGAAGAGGGAAGAGCUCAUCAUUGGAAUCUGGCAGUGUUGCACUGUCCGAGUUGUAGAUGAGGAGUAGUCCGUCUGGACUGCAUGGCGUCCAAGUACAAUAGGCCGUCAGUGGGACAUCAUAGAGGGUGACAAUCCCGUCCUUGACGCCAAUGUGCAAGUCUAUUACGAUGGCUAUCUCAGAGAGUCGAGCAGUUUGGGAUUUGCUGCUUAAACAUGGGAGGUAGAUUCCUUCUAAAGCUAAAUACAGGCGAGAGACCGAUAGAGAACAAGUACCGCAAGGGAAAGAUGAAAUAGCACUCUGUGAAGGGAGUCAAAAGGCGUGAAAUUGUUGCGAGAGAAGCGAUUCAAGUCAGCGUAGCUAGGCCCAUCAAGCGUCUUCGCUUUGGACUAGCUUUGCCAGCGGUCUUGUCCCUUGAAGAGACUUGACUUGUAAUAUGUCCAGCCUGGCGUGCACAGGCAGCCCCUUCUGGGGGCCAGUGGCAUGGCUGGUGGAAUGGCUUGCAAUCGACCCGUCUUGAAACACGGACCAAGGAGUCUAACAUGUAUGCGAGUAUAAGGGUGGCAAACCCGUAUGCGCAAUGAAAGUGAUUUUCGGUGAUUGAGAAUGGCCUGAUGACCAGACAAGCAAUAUAUGUCCCUCGUACGGCCAUUGCCCAAGUUCCGUGGUAGAUCCCACGAACAUGGAGUUGGAGCAUACAUGCUAGGACCCGAAAGAUGGUGAACUAUGCCUGGACAAAGCGAAGCCAAAGGAAACUCUGGUGGAGGCUUGUAGCGAUUCUGACGUGCAAAUCGAUCGUCUGAUCUGGGUAUAGGGGCGAAAGACUAAUCGAACC
This 927-nucleotide ribosomal RNA is filed under the name Cantharellus applanatus. RNAcentral describes it as "partial large subunit ribosomal RNA". It matches the Rfam family "Eukaryotic large subunit ribosomal RNA", at positions 1 to 941 of the family's 3401-position model. The record is from RNAcentral. Lineage: Eukaryota; Fungi; Basidiomycota; Agaricomycetes; Cantharellales; Hydnaceae.